This 1266-nucleotide long non-coding RNA is filed under the name Homo sapiens (human). RNAcentral's name for it is "HSALNT0064510". The record is from RNAcentral. Lineage: Eukaryota; Metazoa; Chordata; Mammalia; Primates; Hominidae.
GUGCGCAUGUAAUCCCAGCUACUUGGGAGGCUAAGGCAGGAGAAUCGCUUGCACCCGGGAUGCAGAGGUUGUGGUGAGCUAAGAUCGUGCCAUUGCACUCCAGCCUGGGUAACAAGAGCGAAACUCCAUCUCAAAAAAAAAAGAAAAAGAAAAGAGGAAAGUCCUUUGCCCACUGUAUUCCCUCAGUUUCAGUUCAGUUAUUAAUCCAAUGAGUCCAUUGGAAUGAAAACUCUCAGCUCCUUUCAAAAUUUAUGCUUCUCUGCUCCCCAGUUAGCACUGCCUCAGGCUAAGCUCCAGCAAUGAGAAAGGGAAAGGAGCUUUGGGUUGCUUUAUUCUUAUUCUCUAUUAUUUUAUUAUUAUUUUUUGAUACAGGGCCUUGCUCUGUCACCCAGUCCAGAGUGCAGUGGUGUGACUUUAGCUCACUGCAACCUCUGCCUCCCAAACUCAAGCCAACUUCCCACCUCAGCAUCCUACAGGCUACGCCACCACACCCAGUAAAAGCGAGAGGAGCAAGUUUGGAAUUAACCAUGAGCACUGACCUAAAUGAUCCGCAUAUGGGAGAUGAAUGCCUUCUGCAGCAUGGUGCAAUAUUAUACAGAGAUCGUCUUGCUGCUUUGCCCAGACUGGCCUCAAACUUCUGGGCUCAAGCGAUCCCCUUACUCAGCCUACCGAGUAGCUGCGACUACAGGCAUUCUCCACUGUACCUGACUGAAGUCUAAAAUUUUGAAUCAAGUCUAAGCAGCAUUUACUUAUGAUGGCAGAAUAAAGAUAUUUUCAGACAUAGAAAAUCUUUCCAUCUCCACUUGGUUUACUGCCACCUGAUCUCUCUGCUUCUGGUCUUGUCUCAGUGCAUACUUUCUCCACUUUGCAGCUGGAUGAUCUUUUUGUCAGGCAAAUUGCAUCAUUAACUCCUCAAGGAAUUUAUUUUCCACACUCAGCUCCAGUCAAUCUUUUUUCCCACCAGCUACUUCUAGUUACACGUGAGCCCUUCCUCCUCCACCCUUUCUCUCAGGGUUAUGGUCUCUGAGUCCCUAGAAUGUACCAUAGUCCAUUCUGAUUCCCUCUGCAAAAGAUUCUCUUCUAGCUCAUUCUUCAUCUUCCUUCAGGUCUUAGUCUUGACGUUAUUUUCACAGAAAAGUAUUCCACGGACCCCCACUCCCAUUCCCAUCGCUCCAUCAGAUUAGGUUUGACUCCUUUGUUAGUGACCCUAAUAGCACCUGUGCUUUUACUUAUAAUUAAAGUAAUUGUAUUAUACAGCUAUGAUUU